AUACGACUACAUAUCAGGCAUAUCAAUAAGCGGAGGAAAAGAAACUAACAAGGAUUCCCUUAGUAACGGCGAGUGAAGCGGGAAGAGCUCAAAUUUGAAAUCUUCAGGGUUCUACCUUGAUGAAUUGUAGUUUAAAGAAGUGUUUUCUGUUAGAUGAGUAGCAAAAGUUCCUUGGAAUGGGACAUCAUAGAGGGUGAGAAUCCCGUAUUUGGUUAUUCAUUCUAGCUUUGUGAUACACUUUCAAAGAGUCGGAUUGUUUGGGAAUGCAGUCCAAAAUGGGUGGUAAAUUUCAUCUAAAGCUAAAUAUUGGCGAGAGACCGAUAGCGAACAAGUACCGUGAGGGAAAGAUGAAAAGAACUUUGAAAAGAGAGUUAAACAGUACAUGAAAUUGUCAAAAGGGAAGCGUUUGACACCAGUGUUGUUUUUCCGAAAAUCAAUUACGAAUGGCUUGAUUUUGUGUUGUAUUGACCUUAUCAGCUUUCUUCACUUUUUUCGAGUCUUUCUUAAUGCACUUUUCGGUUAACAAGUCAACAUCAAUUUCUUUUGUUGUAAAAGAGUAUUCGGAAGGUGGCUUUCUUUUCGGAGAAAGUGUUUAUAGCCCUAUACUUCUACAAUCGGAGAGAUUGAGGUCUGCAGCGUAGAUCCUUCGGGGUUAGAUACACUUGUGCUAAGUUGUAGCUUUUCAUAGACAACUUGUUGACUAUGUUUAGUCAUGCGGCUUACUCGCUUGUGCUAUUUUACCUACGCUUAGGAUGUUGAGUAGCGACAUACGCAC
RNAcentral lists this ribosomal RNA (775 nucleotides) under uncultured Neocallimastigales. RNAcentral's name for it is "partial large subunit ribosomal RNA". It matches the Rfam family "Eukaryotic large subunit ribosomal RNA", at positions 24 to 649 of the family's 3401-position model. Lineage: Eukaryota; Fungi; Neocallimastigomycota; Neocallimastigomycetes; Neocallimastigales. The record is from RNAcentral.